AGCAGCCGCGGUAAUUCCAGCUCCAAUAGCGUAUAUUAAAGUUGUUGCAGUUAAAAAGCUCGUAGUUGAACUUCGGGGUCUACCCAUUGGUCAGGCUUAAUUGUCUGCACUGGUGAGAUGGAUCUCUACCUUCUGAGGAACUUUCAUGCCAUUUAUUUGGUGUGGUUGGAAAUCAGGACUGUUACUUUGAAAAAAUUAGAGUGUUUAAAGCAGACUAUCGUCUGAAUACAUUAGCAUGGAAUAAUGAAAUAGGACGGACUGAUUCUAUUUCGUUGGUUUCUAGGAUCACCGUAAUGAUUAAUAGGGAUAGUUGGGGGCAUUAGUAUUCAAUUGUCAGAGGUGAAAUUCUUGGAUUUAUUGAAGACUAACUACUGCGAAAGCAUUUGCCAAGGAUGUUUUCAUUAAUCAAGAACGAAAGUUAGGGGAUCGAAGACGAUCAGAUACCGUCGUAGUCUUAACCAUAAACUAUGCCGACUAGGGAUCGGACGAAGUUAAUUUUAUAAUGACGCG
This 510-nucleotide ribosomal RNA is filed under the name uncultured Glomus. RNAcentral describes it as "SSU rRNA". It matches the Rfam family "Eukaryotic small subunit ribosomal RNA", at positions 569 to 1078 of the family's 1831-position model. The record is from RNAcentral. Lineage: Eukaryota; Fungi; Glomeromycota; Glomeromycetes; Glomerales; Glomeraceae.